CAAACCUAAAUCGGUUGCCCCCUGCUUUUCCUCCACACCCACCAAUAAUGACGAUCGUUGACUGAGGUUCCCUCAAGAGAGGAGUGGCUAAGGGUGGUGUUGCUUCCUAUGUGAAAUCAAGUGAGAGUCGCCACGCCAUGAAGGUGAGAUCACCGCUGGUUUAGCCGUGAUCGAGAUUUUUUGCACGCCGUGGCCGAAACCUGUAGCAUCACGAUCUACUGUGGAUUUUUUGGGUGUGUUUUCAGUUGGUAGGUGGGGGCUGUGGUGGUGGUGGUGCUUGGUGGAAUUGUUGAAUCCAGUGGUGGCAGAGCUUAUGUUAGAUAUGGUGGUAGUUGUGGUUUUGAUGGUGGCGAUGGUGGUUUUGAAGUUCAAAAUGAUAGUUUGUUGUAGGUGGUAGUGGUGGUGUCGAGAAGUGGCAGUGUUGGUUUGUUCCGGGAGGUGAUGUGGUUAUUGUGGCGGUGGUGUUAUGGUUGAUGCAGUGGUGAUGAUGGGGACAAUAGUGCUUGGCAGCAGAUUUGGGAAUUUUUUUGGUGGAUGUUGUGAUUGUAGAGUGGUAGUGGUAGUGGUAGUGGUAGUGGUGAUGGUGAUGGUGUUGGUUUAGUGUUCGAGAUGAUGGUUUUCUUUCCAGAAGAUGGUGGCGAUGGUUCUAGCGAUGCUAAUGGUGGAUCUAGAGUUGGUAGAGAUUGGAUUUGGAGGUGUUGGUGGUUGUGAUGAUUGUGGUAACGAUGUUGGUGGUCUAGUAGUGGUUGUGGUGGGAUGGGGUUCUAGUGAUGAUGCGGUUGGUGACAGUGGUGUGGUGGUGAUUACAAAUGAUUUGAUUGAUUGUGAUAAAUAAAUUGGUUAAUGUGUGAUCCAAUAAAUAAUAUGUGAUCAAUUAAAAAGAUAAAUUGUGAUCAAUAAAUAAUGUGUAACCUAAAAAUUGUUAAUAUGAUCGAUAAUUUGAUAAUUUGUG
This 952-nucleotide long non-coding RNA is filed under the name Olea europaea subsp. europaea. The record is from RNAcentral. Lineage: Eukaryota; Viridiplantae; Streptophyta; Magnoliopsida; Lamiales; Oleaceae.